Molecule: non-coding RNA, 667 nt
Organism: Bemisia tabaci
Lineage: Eukaryota; Metazoa; Arthropoda; Insecta; Hemiptera; Aleyrodidae
Source: RefSeq, a predicted model, not a curated record
CACGGGAGCUGUCAGCAUUAGAUUCCGGGUGCAGAUUGCAGAACGACGGUGGUGGCGCGCGACUGCGGAAGCGGAUUGCACAGGAGUUAAGGCGCUCGGAUGAUGUAAACAAACUUUGGGCGCGGGAUUGAUGGAGUGAUAAGUGAAGUUACAUUUGUCUUUGGCUUUGACCUUUGAGUGAUGUUUGUUUACUAAAUUGGGUGCGGCCUAGGAACUGGAAAUUUCGACCUGGCGUUAGGUGAUUUCUCCUCAGCAGUUGCAUCAGCCUUGCUGAAUUUUAGGCUUUUCCACUAUUUACCCACCAGGACCAGUUCAUGGAUUGACAUCUAGUCCCAGUUCAUGAUAAGAUCACGUUUUUUUAAAGCUGAUGGAAAGCUCAUCUCAAGUUCUUUGGAUCCAUUGUUCUCUCUGAUCUGAUAUUGCACGGAAGAAUGUUGGGUCAUCUUUUGCCUCGUGUGUUUUUAUUCAUUCAUGUCAGUUUUCAAAAACUGUUAGACAAUCAGAUCAAAUUUUGUUUGCUAUCCAUGACCAAGAAAAUGUUCUGUCAUUCGCAGUGAGAAGAUGGCUUUUUUGAGUUACGGUACCUAAUUAGUGAUUGAGGCUUUCCAAGAAACAAGACCUAUCUGCUGGUAAGUAAAAUUUUCUAUAGCUUUGAUUCCCAGUCCGC